GAAGCCGCACCCCCGCGGGGCCGCCUGAGAACGAGUCCGCAGCCGCCGCCAUUCCGCCUCGCCGCACCCUUCCGCCCCGCCUCCGCUUUCCCGCCAACUUUGAGAAGCAGCGGGGCCCGGCCCUCAGCCACCAAUCAGGAGCGCGCUGGCAGAGCCGGCCAAUGGUCGACGUCAGAAGGCGGGACCGCCGGGCGAAGAGGCCCUCUCUAGCAGCCAGGAGUGCGCAUGCGUAGAUAAAAGUAAAUAAACGCCCUCAAGUUAGGAAUGAACGGAGGAAAUGGGUUAAACGAGAAUAAAUAAUUGAAGGCAGAGAGGUAAAGAACUUCCUCUUUCAACGCAUCUCAAAAUUUGGCGUGGAUGCAGAUCACCUACAGAGUAUGAUUAUUCAUCUUUACAUUGCCUUGUUUUGAGAUGAUGAAACUGAGGUUCAAGCCAAUGACAAGCCUGAAGCCACAUGGCUAGUGAGUGGCAGAGUCAGAACUCAAACCCAAAUCCACCUGACCCCAAACUUCAUGUAUCUUGAACUACAGGCUCCAUCUCACUGUUCACACUCUCACCCACCUCCACCCAUCAAAGGUGCCUCUAGACCUUUGCUUGUGUUGUUUGUUCUCUGCCUGACAUGCCUCCCCCUCAGUCGCUCUCAGUUGAAACCUGGCUUAGUCAUCAAGUGCCUGCUCAGCAGCAAGACCUCUUCUCUUCACAGAGCCUUUGUUGAGCCCCACCACUGGAAUUAACCUCUUCCUUCCAGACCAGUUUGGUGGUGCCCCUAAUCCACAGUUUCCCAACCUCAGCCCUACUGACACUGGGGCUGGAUAAUCUUUGUCGUGGGGGCUGUCGUGUGCACUGCAGGAUAUGGAGCAGUACCCCUGCUUUCCACCCACGAGAUGCCAUGGCACCCUCCUCAAGUUGCAACAACCAAAAUAUGUCUUCAGACAUUGCCACUGUCCCCUAGGGUACUAAAUCACCUCUAUGGAGAACCACUGUCCUAAGCUACAAUACUCACUGCCCUCUGUUUUGAGCCAUAAAUAGUUGUGUCUGUGUCUAUCUUACCAGUAAAGCCUGGGUUCUCAAACUAAGUUGUCAGCAGCAGACAGACAGGUAACCCUGGUGUAGCAGGGGCAAACUGGCCUUCUGAUGUCCCGGCAACAGGGGUCCAUCACACUCAGCCGGUGGUUGUCGUGCAGGACUGUGGGCCCAUUGUUGCUAGAUCUGAUUUUUCAAGACAUUUUCUUUUUUUCGUUUGUUUUUGUUUUGUUUUAGAUGGAGUCUAACUCUGUUGCCCAGGCUGUAGUGCAAUGGCACGAUCUCAACUCACCACAACUUCCACCUCCCAGGUUUAAGUGAUUCUCCUGCCUCAGCCUUACAAGUAGCUGGGAUUACAGGUGCCCGCCACCACGCCCGGCCAAUUUUGUGUAUUUUUAGUAGAGAUGGGGUUUCACCAUGUUGGCCAGGCUAGUCUCGAACUCCCUACCUCAGAUGAUCCACCUGCCUUGGCCUCCCAAAGUGCUGGGAUUACGGGCGUGAGCCACCGCGCCCAGCUCAAGACAUUUUCAUGUAUAAUUUCCAUGUUUAAAAAAAAAAUGCUGGCAAACAAUUCAAUUCUGAAACAAAGGAACAAAAACAAACCAUGUGCCCCAGAAAGUCAUCCAUGGACUGACUCUGGCCCGUGGGCUUCCAAUCUGCAAACUCUCUCUAGAACGUGACCUCUGCUUCAGGCACCAAGGCAGCCUGCAUGUUCACUAACGUGCAGGUCCUUAAAUCUCCUGCAAAAUAGCCAAGGGGCUGUAGUGUUCCACCAGCUCCAAGAGUUGCAAAAUCAGCAUUUUAAAUUACAGUCAUGAGCAGACAAGUGGGGUCUGUUGACACAUGUUGGGUAAGCCUCCCCUCUAGGGAGGAUUAUCCCCCCUCCCCCACACCACAAUCCAUCACCCUCACACUCAGGCCUGAAGCAACCCCCUGUGCCAGCCUCCCCGAGCUCCAGCUUCCCAGUGAGAUCAAAGAUCCUUGGAAGGCGGUUUCCUGCCACCUGCACCAGUGAGGACAAAGCCCUCUCCCUCUCCCUCUCCCUCUGCCCCUCCCCUCUUCCCUCUUUCCACGGUCUCCCUCUGAUGCCGAGCCGAAGCUGGACUGUACUGCUGCCAUCUCUGCUCACUGCAACCUCCCUGCCUGAUUCUCCUGCCUCAGCCUGCUGAGUGCCUGCGAUUGCAGCCUCACGCCGCCACGCCUGACUGGUUUUCGUAUUUUUUGGGUGGAGACGGGUUUUCGCCGUGUUGGCCGGGCUGGUCUCCAGCUCCUAACCGCGAGUGAUCCGCCAGCCUCGGCCUCCCGAGGUGCCGGGAUUGCAGACGGAGUCUCCUCCACUCAGUGCUCAAUGGUGCCCAGGCUGGAGUGCAGUGGCGUGAUCUCGGCUCGCUA
Molecule: long non-coding RNA, 2415 nt
Filed under: Homo sapiens (human)
Lineage: Eukaryota; Metazoa; Chordata; Mammalia; Primates; Hominidae
Description: HSALNT0227714
Source: RNAcentral